GCAACGGAUAUCUCGGCUCUCGCAUCGAUGAAGAACGUAGCAAAAUGCGAUACUUGGUGUGAAUUGCAGAAUCCCGCGAAUCAUCGAGUCUUUGAACGCAAGUUGCGCCCGAAGCCUUYAGGCCGAGGGCACGUCUGCCUGGGCGUCAUGCACUGCG
This 157-nucleotide ribosomal RNA is filed under the name Dudleya stolonifera. RNAcentral describes it as "5.8S ribosomal RNA". It matches the Rfam family "5.8S ribosomal RNA". From Rfam's summary of the family: 5.8S ribosomal RNA (5.8S rRNA) is a component of the large subunit of the eukaryotic ribosome. It is transcribed by RNA polymerase I as part of the 45S precursor that also contains 18S and 28S rRNA. Lineage: Eukaryota; Viridiplantae; Streptophyta; Magnoliopsida; Saxifragales; Crassulaceae. The record is from RNAcentral.